UUCACAAAGAAAAGAGAACUUUGAAGGCCGAAGUGGAGAAGGGUUCCAUGUGAACAGCAGUUGAACGUGUGUCAGUCAGUCCUGAGAGAAGGGCCAGCGCCAUUCCAAUGGAAUGGCUUUUUAAACAAGUCUUUAUUCUGCUUUUUGGUAGUCAAUGUAUAUGUGGUGGUUGGAACUGCCUCUGCUGUCUUAGACUGUGGGGGUUUGUGAAGAUAAAU
RNAcentral lists this long non-coding RNA (218 nucleotides) under Homo sapiens (human). RNAcentral's name for it is "HSALNT0336580". It matches the Rfam family "Eukaryotic large subunit ribosomal RNA", at positions 1464 to 1588 of the family's 3401-position model. The record is from RNAcentral. Lineage: Eukaryota; Metazoa; Chordata; Mammalia; Primates; Hominidae.